GACGAACGCUGGCGGCGUGCUUAACACAUGCAAGUCGAACGGAAAGGCCCUGCUUUUGUGGGGUGCUCGAGUGGCGAACGGGUGAGUAACACGUGAGUAACCUGCCCUUGACUUUGGGAUAACUUCAGGAAACUGGGGCUAAUACCGGAUAGGAGCUCCUGCUGCAUGGGGGGGGUUGGAAAGUUUCGGCGGUUGGGGAUGGACUCGCGGCUUAUCAGCUUGUUGGUGGGGUAGUGGCUUACCAAGGCUUUGACGGGUAGCCGGCCUGAGAGGGUGACCGGCCACAUUGGGACUGAGGUACGGCCCAGACUCCUACGGGAGGCAGCAGUGGGGAAUAUUGCACAAUGGGCGGAAGCCUGAUGCAGAAACGCCGCGUGCGGGAUGACGGCCUUCGGGUUGUAAACCGCUUUCGCCCGUGACGAAGCGUGAGUGACGGUAAUGGGUAAAGAAGCACCGGCUAACUACGUG
This 468-nucleotide ribosomal RNA is filed under the name uncultured bacterium. Its description in RNAcentral is "partial 16S ribosomal RNA". It matches the Rfam family "Bacterial small subunit ribosomal RNA", at positions 28 to 507 of the family's 1533-position model. The record is from RNAcentral.